RNAcentral lists this unclassified non-coding RNA (23 nucleotides) under Mus musculus (house mouse). RNAcentral describes it as "oocyte_clustered_small_RNA11442". The record is from RNAcentral. Lineage: Eukaryota; Metazoa; Chordata; Mammalia; Rodentia; Muridae.
UUGCAGACAGCAUGGUGUCAGGU